Molecule: ribosomal RNA, 614 nt
Filed under: uncultured bacterium
Lineage: Bacteria
Description: bacterial SSU rRNA
Rfam family: Bacterial small subunit ribosomal RNA
Source: RNAcentral
AAGUGGCGUACGGGUGAGUAACACGUGGAUCAUCUACCUUCUAGUGGGGCAUACCUCUGGGAAACCGGAGAUAAUUCCGCAUAAGCUCGUAAGAGGAAAGCAGCAAGCGCUGGAAGAGGAGUCCGCGGCUGAUUAGCUAGAUGGCGGGGUAACGGCCCACCAUGGCGAAGAUCGGUAGCCGGCCUGAGAGGGCACACGGCCACACUGGCACUGAAACACGGGCCAGACUCCUACGGGAGGCAGCAGUGGGGAAUCUUGCACAAUGGAGGCAACUCUGAUGCAGCGACGCCGCGUGAGCGAUGAAGCCCUUCGGGGUGUAAAGCUCUUUCGACGGGAAAGAUGAUGACGGUACCCGGAGAAGAAGCUGCGGCUAACUACGUGCCAGCAGCCGCGGUAAUACGUAGGCAGCGAGCGUUGUUCGGAAUUACUGGGCGUAAAGAGUGUGUAGGCGGUGUUCCAAGUCUGGUGUGAAAUCUCCCGGCUUAACUGGGAGGGUGCGCCGGAAACUGGAAUGCUCGAGGGUGGGAGAGGUAAGCGGAAUUCCUGGUGUAGCGGUGAAAUGCGUAGAUAUCAGGAGGAACACCUGUGGUGUAGACAGCUUACUGGACCACUUC